CCUGUUUAUUUCUUUCAUCUGAAAGUCUUAUCUGUGCACCCCCAAAUUUCCCAAAAUGCUGCAAUAAAUGCUUUGGAAAUGAACUUACUCCUCCAGUAUACACAGCAUCCCUCUUUAGUAGUUAUACAUGCUUAAAAUAUUUAUUUUGGCUGGACACAAUGGCUCAUUCCUCUAAUCCUAACACUUUGGGAGGCCAAGGUGGUGAAAGGAUUGCUUGGGUUCAGGAGUUUGAGGUCAGCCAGGGCAACACAGUGAGACCCCAUCUUUACAAAAAAUAAAAAAUUAGCUGGGUGUGGUGGUUCAGGUCUGUAGUUCCAGCUACUUGGUAGACUGAGGUGGCAGGAUUGCUUGAGCCCUGGGAGGUGGAGGCUGCACUCAGCUGUGACUGCACUACUGCACUCCAGCCAUUUCUUCUUGCAUUUUAAAUUUUCCAGCUGGGACCAUAGUCUCUCUUCUGAGGUAUAUUAUUUAGAUAUUUCCUAAUUGAGGAUCUGUUAUGGUAAACAUUUAGUUUGUUCAGCUCUGAAAAUGAUUGAUUUUUUUCCUAUAUUUCAGUAUAGUAAAGUAACUGCCUAAGGGGUUCUUCCUGACUUGUAAUAAGGAGAGUUUAGUAGAUACGAGGCCUGCAACACCACAUGGGAGAUGGAGUUUACUCAAAUCAUCUCCUCUGAAGCUCAUAGGUUAGGGG
This 688-nucleotide long non-coding RNA is filed under the name Homo sapiens (human). RNAcentral's name for it is "non-protein coding lnc-IFI44-1:2". Lineage: Eukaryota; Metazoa; Chordata; Mammalia; Primates; Hominidae. The record is from RNAcentral.